UACGGAGGAUCCAAGCGUUAUCCGGAUUUAUUGGGUUUAAAGGGUGCGUAGGCGGCCUAUUAAGUCAGGGUGAAAGACGGUAGCUCAACUAUCGCAGUGCCUUUGAUACUGAUGGGCUUGAAUAUACUAGAGGUAGGCGGAAUGUGACAAGUAGCGGUGAAAUGCAUAGAUAUGUCACAGAACACCGAUUGCGAAGGCAGCUUACUAUGGUAUUAUUGACGCUGAGGCACGAAAGCGUGGGGAUCAAACAGG
This 252-nucleotide ribosomal RNA is filed under the name uncultured bacterium. RNAcentral's name for it is "partial 16S ribosomal RNA". It matches the Rfam family "Bacterial small subunit ribosomal RNA", at positions 524 to 776 of the family's 1533-position model. The record is from RNAcentral.